AUCAUCUUCACCCAAAAAUCUACGUGUCACUUUGUGAUUAUUUUUGGCUCUACAUCAUCUACUUAUUUAAUACUUAUAUUAUCACCAAACUGUUUUCUGAAUGAUUUCUUCUUCAUAUAGAUAGACAUAGGAUUUAUGGAACAAUUACUUAAAAAUACAGUUUGUGGUUACGCUGGAUCAAUAUUAUCAACAAUUAUCCAGCAAACAACAAAUACUGACUAGACUUAUUAUUGUUUGAGUUUGUUUAUCUCGUUAAAAAAAAAAGUCUCAUUUCUACAUCUGAGUUAAACCCAACAUUUAAAAGGAACGAAGGAUUUGUGAAAACAAAGGGUGGGACAAAGACAGCAAAAGCACAAAUUAGCAAAGCAUCACAAUGAAAACCAAAGGUAAAGUGAAGAAAAAGGUAGCUGAGAUAGAUAGAUUAAGGAUGAAAGACACGUUGCGAGCAUGGGCAACCACAACUAUAUAUAAAACAUACUUGAUAAAGCAUGUAAUCGCUUUAACAACAUCAUUAUAAAAAAAAUCCUUGGGCGGCAGCUAGAAGGGUGCGAUGUUUCAUUAGCGCAUAUAAGCCAAAAAAUUUAUCCGCUGUGAUUAUUGUAACAUCAUCAUUUAUUUAGAAUUCACAAAUGCAUGAAAAAAACUUAUAGGAACAUAAAGAAGACAAAAAAAAAAAAAUCAAUAAGAGCACUGAGAUGCACAGACCAACAAAGAAUCAAUCAGAUAUAAGAUGAUGUUAUGGAUUUAGACAAAACUUAUUACAAACAGUUGUUAUCGAUUUACUUCAUACAAUACAUUCACAGUUAUAUUCACCAAAACGCAUUAUAAAAUUAAUUCUCAACAGUUAUCAUUGUUUAAACACCAACCUAAUCGUAGCUAUUACCUUUCUUGUCAAGUAUCUCUAUAAGUAUUUUAACCAUAGCUCCAAACAACAAACAAAGCAACUGAAAGAAUCAAAGAAACAAAAAAACCACGCGAUGACCUAAAACGAAACAAAGUUUGAUGUAUAAUUUAAACAGUCCAUAAAAGCCUUUAACAAUUUUAUAUUUUACCAAUACUUUUUCAAUCAAAUUUGUUUUCUGUUUAAGCUUAGCUACGUCAUUUAUCCAUCUCUUGGAAUGCAUUUACAAUCAGAUUUGCCAAAUGACACUAUAAAAUUAAUUCUUAAUACUCACCAUACUGAAUUAUGAUUUAUAAAGGUCGUACCCAGUGCACAAGGCUCCCGCUUUACGCAGGGUCUGGGAGAGGUGAAUGUCGGUUAGCCUUACCCCCAUUUUAUGGAG
This 1283-nucleotide long non-coding RNA is filed under the name Malus domestica (apple). RNAcentral describes it as "long non-coding RNA (MDOM_LNC017689)". The record is from RNAcentral. Lineage: Eukaryota; Viridiplantae; Streptophyta; Magnoliopsida; Rosales; Rosaceae.